GGACCCACUUCGGCCUGUAUGGACUGAUAGCACAGAGACGCCAACGUCAGUCUGUACCAACUGACAGCACAAAGACCCACAUUGAUGUGUAUGGACUGACAGCACAGAGACGCCAACGUCAGUCUGUAUGGACUGACAGCACAAAGACCCACAUCGGUGUGUAUGGACUGAGAGCACAGAGACAGCAACAUCAGUCUGUAUUGACUAACGUAACACCAUGGUAACACCAACAUCAGUCUGUAUGGACUGACAGCACAGAGACCCACAUCGGUGUGUAUGGACUGACAGCACAGAGACCAGCAUUGGUGUGUAUGGACUGACAUAACAGUGUGAUAACACCAAUGUCAGUCUGUACCCACUGAUAUAACAUCAUAAUAACACCAACAUCAGUGUGUAUGGACUGAUAUAACGCUGUGAUAACACCAAUGUCAGUCUGUACCCACUGAUAUAACAUCAUAAUAACACCAACAUCAGUGUGUAUGGACUGCUAUAAUGCUGUGAUAACACCAGUGUCAGUCUGUGCCCAUUGAUAUAACACCGUGAUAACACCAACAUCAGUGUGUAUGGACUGAUAUAACACCGUGAUACCACCAACGUCAGUCUGUAUGGACUGACAGCACAGAGACACCGACGUUGGUCUGUAAGGACUGACGUAACAGCAUGAAAGCACCAACAUCA
This 678-nucleotide long non-coding RNA is filed under the name Gallus gallus (chicken). The record is from RNAcentral. Lineage: Eukaryota; Metazoa; Chordata; Aves; Galliformes; Phasianidae.